AUUGAACGCUGGCGGCAUGCUUUACACAUGCAAGUCGAACGGUAACAGGGUGCUUGCACCGCUGACGAGUGGCGAACGGGUGAGUAAUGCGUGGAUAACCUGCCCUGGUAUCUGGGAUAACAUCUCGAAAGGGGUGCUAAUACCGGAUAAGCCCACGGAACCUUCGGGUUCUGAGGGAAAAGGUGGCCUCUGUCUCAACAUACUGUAUCAAGAUGGGCCCGCGUACCAUUAGCUAGUUGGUAGGGUAAUGGCCUACCAAGGCGACGAUGGUUAGCUGGUCUGAGAGGAUGAUCAGCCACACUGGAACUGAGACACGGUCCAGACUCCUACGGGAGGCAGCAGUGGGGAAUUUUGCGCAAUGGGGGAAACCCUGACGCAGCAACGCCGCGUGAGUGAUGAAGGCCUUCGGGUCGUAAAGCUCUGUCAGAGGGGAAGAAAUGAUGAGGUGCUAAUACCACUUCUUCUUGACGGUACCCUCAAAGGAAGCACCGGCUAACUCCGUGCCAGCCGCCGCCGUAA
RNAcentral lists this ribosomal RNA (519 nucleotides) under uncultured bacterium. RNAcentral describes it as "partial 16S ribosomal RNA". It matches the Rfam family "Bacterial small subunit ribosomal RNA", at positions 30 to 523 of the family's 1533-position model. The record is from RNAcentral.